RNAcentral lists this ribosomal RNA (497 nucleotides) under uncultured bacterium. Its description in RNAcentral is "partial 16S ribosomal RNA". It matches the Rfam family "Bacterial small subunit ribosomal RNA", at positions 28 to 507 of the family's 1533-position model. The record is from RNAcentral.
GAUGAACGCUGGCGGCGUGCCUAAUACAUGCAAGUCGAGCGAACGGACGAGAAGCUUGCUUCUCUGAUGUUAGCGGCGGACGGGUGUGUAACACGUGGAUAACCUACCUAUAUGACUGGGAUAACUUCGGGAAACCGGAGCUAAUACCGGAUGAUAUUUUGAACCGCAUUGUUCAAAAGUGAAAGACGGUCUUGCUGUCACUUAUAGAUGGAUCCGCGCUUCAUUAGCUAGUUGGUAAGGUAACGGCUUACCAAGGCUACGAGGCAUAACCGACCUGAGAGGCGGAUCGGCCACACUAGAACUGGGACAGGGUCAAGACUCCUACGGGAGGCAGCAGUAGGGAAUCGUCCGCAAUAGUCGAAAGCCUGACGGAGCAACGCCGCGUGAGUGAUGAAGGUCUUCGGAUCGUAAAACUCUGUUAUUAGGGAAGAACAUAUGUGUAAGUAACUGUGCACAUCUUGACGGUACCGAAUCAGAAAGCCACGGCUAACUACGUG